Otolemur garnettii (small-eared galago) is the source of this 106-nucleotide small nuclear RNA. The record is from Ensembl. Lineage: Eukaryota; Metazoa; Chordata; Mammalia; Primates; Galagidae.
GUGCUCACUUCAGCAGCACGUGUACUAAAAUUGGAAUGAUACAGAGAAGAUUAGCAUGCUCCUGCACAAGGAUGACAUGCAAAUUUGUGAGGCAUUCCAUAUUAAA